GACGAACGCUGGCGGCGUGCCUAAUACAUGCAAGUAGAACGCACAGUUUAUACCGUAGCUUGCUACACCAUAGACUGUGAGUUGCGAACGGGUGAGUAACGCGUAGGUAACCUGCCUGGUAGCGGGGGAUAACUAUUGGAAACGAUAGCUAAUACCGCAUAAUAUUGAUUAUUGCAUGAUAAUUAAUUGAAAGGUGCAAUUGCACCACUACCAGAUGGACCUGCGUUGUAUUAGCUAGUAGGUGAGGUAACGGCUCACCUAGGCGACGAUACAUAGCCGACCUGAGAGGGUGAUCGGCCACACUGGACCGGAGACACGGCCAAGACUCCUCCGGAGGCAGCAGUAGGGAAUCUUCGGCAAUGGACGAAAGUCUGAACGAGCAACGCCGCGUGAGUGAAGAAGGUUUUCGGAUCGUAAAGCUCUGUUGUAAGAGAAGAAAGGGUGUGAGAGUGGAAAGUUCACACUGUGACGGUAUCUUACCAGAAAGGGACGGCUAACUACGUG
Molecule: ribosomal RNA, 504 nt
Filed under: uncultured bacterium
Lineage: Bacteria
Description: partial 16S ribosomal RNA
Rfam family: Bacterial small subunit ribosomal RNA
Source: RNAcentral